AUGGCAUCCUCUCAGCGUAGUGGGGUACGUACUCCCUUUCAGGACCUGACCAACAACAGCAAUUCAGGUCAAAAAGCAGAUCCAAAAGAGCUGAAGAGACAGAGGGAAAGGGAGAGGUAUGCACUAAACAGGGAUGCAAUAUUAAAGAAAAGACAAGAGGCAAGGGAUCGUAAGAAAGCUGCGGCUGCUAUUCUAAAUGAAAUCAACACUCCAUCUAAGCCAUCCGGGGCCAUGUCGCCUGGUUUUGACACGGUGGAGAGGCCCACUGCGCAGUCUGCUCUCACCCAGCAACGACACACACCAGCUGCAGAAGGCAUACCUGUUGAUGUCAUAAUGAGUGAUCGGACUCCACUUCCUGGUCUGAAUUCAUUAGGAACACCAUAUACUGCUGUUUCUAACAAGGAAAAUGUCAAUAAUAUCGACUCUGCCAACAUCGACUCUGCCAUUGGGUCCUCCCAACUGACUGUGUUACGACCACCACUUCAAUCCUACAGAGGCAGCAGUUCAUAUGCUAAUGAAGAUUGUGAUUGGCUACACACAAAUGAUACGUACCAGAGACAAAGCUUUGGAACAAGGAUGAGGCCAGACAACAUACUCACUGCGCCGUCAUGUGGACACAAUCCCGUCGACAAAUAUAAUGGUGCUUUAAUUGACUACUGCUUGGUUCAUACUUUAAUUACGGAGGGUCCACAAAACAUGCUUCUUGAUGCUGUGAUAACCAACGAUGGAGAUACAAUCCCCGAAUCGACAGAGCUACCGAGCGAUGACGAAUCAAGUGAAAUACUCAACAAUAAUGAAGUGGAGGAAAAUAAUUGCACGGAGAGCCCAGAAUAUACACCAAUCCUUGAAGAAAACAUAGCAAAAAGAGAGGCCAAAGAUUCUGAACAUACACAGAAAUUAACCCACAACGAAACAAGUCAACAAAUUGUGGUGGCUGAGGACGAGGAAUUGGCCCAUCAAUGA
RNAcentral lists this ribosomal RNA (963 nucleotides) under Triticum aestivum (bread wheat). Its description in RNAcentral is "partial small subunit ribosomal RNA". Lineage: Eukaryota; Viridiplantae; Streptophyta; Magnoliopsida; Poales; Poaceae. The record is from RNAcentral.